This is a long non-coding RNA of Talpa occidentalis (Iberian mole), 623 nucleotides long. RefSeq lists it as uncharacterized. The record is from RefSeq and is a predicted model, not a curated record. The transcript has 4 exons. Lineage: Eukaryota; Metazoa; Chordata; Mammalia; Eulipotyphla; Talpidae.
GCUCUGGGGAGCUGAGCCCCCGGGUGCUGUCUGGGCGCGGGGAGGGACCAGGGAGGACGCAGGGGAAGGAGCCUGGUCCUCGGACUCCAGAGUUGGAGCUGAAGGUCAAACGGUGGUGGGAAUAGACGGGACAGGUCAGUCCAGGGACUUUCUAGGGACUCUGGUCCAUGGGUCUGUGCGGGAGGUAAUAGGGGAAAGAGUUACACUGCGUUGGAGAUUGUCUGUUCUUCUCAGGCGGCUAUGACUGUUCUCAGGCGGUGAAAUCGUCAUUCCUUUGUCUACCACCCUUUUCUCACUUGUAGAGGAGUUUUUUUGGAAAAACUGGCCACUCCAGGGUUUUUUUGUGCAAUAAGAUGUGUGCCUACUGGAAUCUAUUGAGAACAAUCAACAGUGAAUUCAGACUAGAGUUCUUAGUUUUAAAUGAACUAUAUUUAAGAGAGCCUGAAGUUCCUGCUUACCAUGUAAUUUCAGAAGGAAUUCUAAUACUCUGGAUAAUCAGAUAUUUCUCGAAAACUUCCAAGUUACAGGAGGGAUCUGCUCUUACAGUCAAGGUUUUUUUUAUUUAUACAAGAACCAGGGUACAGGCCAGAUGCACAGGAGGGUGAGAGGAUUCACCAGAGAAA